Molecule: ribosomal RNA, 511 nt
Filed under: Acinetobacter baumannii OIFC109
Lineage: Bacteria; Pseudomonadati; Pseudomonadota; Gammaproteobacteria; Moraxellales; Moraxellaceae
Description: bacterial SSU rRNA
Rfam family: Bacterial small subunit ribosomal RNA
Source: RNAcentral
AACGCUGGCGGCAGGCUUAACACAUGCAAGUCGAGCGGGGGAAGGUAGCUUGCUACCGGACCUAGCGGCGGACGGGUGAGUAAUGCUUAGGAAUCUGCCUAUUAGUGGGGGACAACAUCUCGAAAGGGAUGCUAAUACCGCAUACGUCCUACGGGAGAAAGCAGGGGAUCUUCGGACCUUGCGCUAAUAGAUGAGCCUAAGUCGGAUUAGCUAGUUGGUGGGGUAAAGGCCUACCAAGGCGACGAUCUGUAGCGGGUCUGAGAGGAUGAUCCGCCACACUGGGACUGAGACACGGCCCAGACUCCUACGGGAGGCAGCAGUGGGGAAUAUUGGACAAUGGGGGGAACCCUGAUCCAGCCAUGCCGCGUGUGUGAAGAAGGCCUUAUGGUUGUAAAGCACUUUAAGCGAGGAGGAGGCUACUUUAGUUAAUACCUAGAGAUAGUGGACGUUACUCGCAGAAUAAGCACCGGCUAACUCUGUGCCAGCAGCCGCGGUAAUACAGAGGGUGCGA